ACAUGAAUCAGGUGGAGGUACAGAGUGGAGUUUCUCAAAUUUUAGUUUCAACACAGCUAGCCUGAAUAAAGCUCUGCAAGAUUGAGGCUUUUUUAUAUAAGCUUUAACCAGAUGGUGCAAAGGAAAUCAACCAGCUAUUUGUGUAUUUGAUAAAGGGAAAGCAUCGAAUAUUUGCACAUUGUAAUGGGGUGUGGAUCUCUUAGUGGCUGCCUGUUUGGGAGGAAGAAGGCUCCAGGCAGAUUUUGGACAUGUCCAAAUUUGCUGCAACCAUUUCAUAUGUUGUUUUCAAAGCUGCUUUUGUGAUCCAGAUUAGUAUUUUGAACAAAUACUUAGUUUUAAUGUAUCUUGACAUGUUCCCAUUA
Molecule: non-coding RNA, 362 nt
Organism: Prunus avium (sweet cherry)
Lineage: Eukaryota; Viridiplantae; Streptophyta; Magnoliopsida; Rosales; Rosaceae
Source: RefSeq, a predicted model, not a curated record